RNAcentral lists this ribosomal RNA (496 nucleotides) under uncultured bacterium. RNAcentral describes it as "bacterial SSU rRNA". It matches the Rfam family "Bacterial small subunit ribosomal RNA", at positions 406 to 916 of the family's 1533-position model. The record is from RNAcentral.
GGAUGACGGCCUUAGGGUUGUAAACCGCUUUCAGCAGGGACGAAAUUGACGGUACCUGCAGAAGAAGCCCCGGCCAACUACGUGCCAGCAGCCGCGGUAAUACGUAGGGGGCAAGCGUUGUCCGGAUUUAUUGGGCGUAAAGAGCUCGUAGGCGGUCUGGUAAGUCGGAUGUGAAAUCUCCACGCUUGACGUGGAGGGGUCAUUCGAAACUGCCAUGGCUAGAGUUUGGUAGAGGAGUGCGGAACUCCCGGUGUAGCGGUGAAAUGCGCAGAUAUCGGGAAGAACACCCGUAGCGAAGGCGGCACUCUGGGCCAAUACUGACGCUGAGGAGCGAAAGCGUGGGGAGCAAACAGGAUUAGAUACCCUGGUAGUCCACGCCGUAAACGUUGGGCACUAGGUGUGGGACUCUAUCGACGGGUUCCGUGCCGUAGCUAACGCAUUAAGUGCCCCGCCUGGGGAGUACGGCCGCAAGGCUAAAACUCAAAGGAAUUGACGG